UACGGGGGGAGCAAGCGUUGUUCGGAUUUACUGGGCGUAAAGGGCGCGUAGGCGGUCAGCACAAGUCAGUUGUGAAAUCUCCGGGCUUAACUCGGAAAGGUCACCUGAUACUGUGCGACUAGAGUGCAGAAGGGGCAACUGGAAUUCUCGGUGUAGCGGUGAAAUGCGUAGAUAUCGAGAGGAACACCUGCGGCGAAGGCGGGUUGCUGGGCUGACACUGACGCUGAUGCGCGAAAGCCAGGGGAGCGAACGGG
RNAcentral lists this ribosomal RNA (254 nucleotides) under uncultured bacterium. Its description in RNAcentral is "partial 16S ribosomal RNA". It matches the Rfam family "Bacterial small subunit ribosomal RNA", at positions 524 to 776 of the family's 1533-position model. The record is from RNAcentral.